UAAGGAAUAUUGGUCAAUGGACGCAAGUCUGAACCAGCCAUGCCGCGUGGAGGAUGAAGGUCCUCUGGAUUGUAAACUUCUUUUAUCUGGGGCGAAAAAGGGCCUUUUUAGGUCAACUGACGGUACCAGAUGAAUAAGCACCGGCUAACUCCGUGCCAGCAGCCGCGGUAAUACGGAGGGUGCAAGCGUUAUCCGGAUUCACUGGGUUUAAAGGGUGCGUAGGCGGGUGUGUAAGUCCGUGGUGAAAUCUCCGAGCUUAACUCGGAAACUGCCAUGGGUACUGCAUGUCUUGAAUGUUGUGGAGGUGAGCGGAAUAUGUCAUGUAGCGGUGAAAUGCUUAGAUAUGACAUAGAACACCAAUUGCGAAGGCAGCUCGCUACACAAAUAUUGACGCUGAGGCACGAAAGCGUGGGGAUCAAACA
RNAcentral lists this ribosomal RNA (422 nucleotides) under uncultured bacterium. RNAcentral's name for it is "bacterial SSU rRNA". It matches the Rfam family "Bacterial small subunit ribosomal RNA", at positions 355 to 774 of the family's 1533-position model. The record is from RNAcentral.